RNAcentral lists this non-coding RNA (24 nucleotides) under Arabidopsis thaliana (thale cress). The record is from RNAcentral. Lineage: Eukaryota; Viridiplantae; Streptophyta; Magnoliopsida; Brassicales; Brassicaceae.
AGACAAUAGAUAUGCCCGCUAUAG